AGAUUGAACGCUGGCGGCAUGCUUUACACAUGCAAGUCGAACGGCAGCACGGGGGCAACCCUGGUGGCGAGUGGCGAACGGGUGAGUAAUGCUUCGGAAUCUACCCACGGGUGGGGAAUAACCAACCGAAAGGUUGGCUAAUACCGCAUAUGCCCUACGGGGUAAAGCGGGGGAUCGUAAGACCUCGCGCUGGUGGAUGAGCCUACGUCCGAUUAGUUAGUUGGUGGGGUAAAGGCCUACCAAGGCCACGAUCGGUAGCUGGUCUGAGAGGACGACCAGCCACACUGGGACUGAGACACGGCCCAGACUCCUACGGGCGGCAGC
This 324-nucleotide ribosomal RNA is filed under the name uncultured prokaryote. RNAcentral's name for it is "bacterial SSU rRNA". It matches the Rfam family "Bacterial small subunit ribosomal RNA", at positions 26 to 352 of the family's 1533-position model. The record is from RNAcentral.